UAGGGAAUCUUCCGCAAUGGACGAAAGUCUGACGGAGCAACGCCGCGUGAGUGAAGAAGGAUUUCGGUUCGUAAAACUCUGUUGUUAGGGAAGAAAAAAUGUAUAGUAACUAUAUACAAAAGAGACGGUACCUAACCAGAAAGCCACGGCUAACUACGUGCCAGCAGCCGCGGUAAUACGUAGGUGGCAAGCGUUGUCCGGAAUUAUUGGGCGUAAAGCGCGCGCAGGUGGUUUAGAAAGUCUGAUGUGAAAGCCCACGGCUCAACCGUGGGGGGUCAUUGGAAACUAAUAAACUUGAGUGCAGGAGAGAAAAGUGGAAUUCCUAGUGUAGCGAUGAAAUGCGUAGAGAUUAGGGGGAACACCGGUGGCGAAAGCGGCUUUUUGGCCUGCAACUGACACUGAGGCGCGAAAGCGGGGGGAGCAAACAGG
This 429-nucleotide ribosomal RNA is filed under the name Verrucomicrobiota bacterium. Its description in RNAcentral is "Verrucomicrobia bacterium partial 16S ribosomal RNA". It matches the Rfam family "Bacterial small subunit ribosomal RNA", at positions 355 to 776 of the family's 1533-position model. Lineage: Bacteria; Pseudomonadati; Verrucomicrobiota. The record is from RNAcentral.